AUUGAACGCUGGCGGAAUGCUUUACACAUGCAAGUCGAACGGCAGCAUAGGUGCUUGCACCUGAUGGCGAGUGGCGAACGGGUGAGUAAUACAUCGGAACGUGCCUAGUCGUGGGGGAUAACGUAGCGAAAGUUACGCUAAUACCGCAUACGAUCUAAGGAUGAAAGCGGGGGACCGUAAGGCCUCGCGCGAUUGGAGCGGCCGAUGUCAGAUUAGGUAGUUGGUGAGGUAAAGGCUCACCAAGCCGACGAUCUGUAGCUGGUCUGAGAGGACGACCAGCCACACUGGGUCGGAGACACGGCCCAGACUCCUACGGGAGGCAGCAGUGGGGAAUUUUGGACAAUGGACGCAAGUCUGAUCCAGCCAUUCCGCGUGCAGGACGAAGGCCUUCGGGUUGUAAACUGCUUUUGUACGGAACGAAAAAGCUCUUACUAAUACUAGGAGUCCAUGACGGUACCGUAAGAAUAAGCACCGGCUAACUACGUGCCAGCCGCCGCAGUAA
This 502-nucleotide ribosomal RNA is filed under the name uncultured bacterium. Its description in RNAcentral is "partial 16S ribosomal RNA". It matches the Rfam family "Bacterial small subunit ribosomal RNA", at positions 30 to 523 of the family's 1533-position model. The record is from RNAcentral.